This 206-nucleotide unclassified non-coding RNA is filed under the name Hevea brasiliensis (rubber tree). The record is from RNAcentral. Lineage: Eukaryota; Viridiplantae; Streptophyta; Magnoliopsida; Malpighiales; Euphorbiaceae.
GAACUGAUCCUAAUCAAAAUACUGGAAUUUCAAUCCACAAUUCUCGAGUCAUGGCUGCUUCAGACCUUAAACCAGUGCUUAGCUCAUUCAAGACUUACUUGGGGAGACCAUGGAAGAAGUAUUCAAGAACUGUUUUUCUCCAAACUUACCUUGAUUCUUUGGUGGAUCCUGCAGGCUGGCUUGAAUGGGAUGGUGAUUUUGCCCUA